GGAGGGUGGGAGGAGCGCGUUCCCGCAGCAACAGGGAAGAUGGCAGCCCUCGCAUCUCUCAGCCAGCUGUCCAGUGGGAACCCUCUGUAUGACACCUUCUACAGACAGGUGGAUCCUGGAAACACAGGGAGAGUCGGACCGACAGAAGGUGCCCUGUUUCUAAAGAAGUCUGGACUUCCUGAUGUUACGC
Molecule: long non-coding RNA, 190 nt
Organism: Nematolebias whitei (Rio pearlfish)
Lineage: Eukaryota; Metazoa; Chordata; Actinopteri; Cyprinodontiformes; Rivulidae
Exons: 3
Source: RefSeq, a predicted model, not a curated record